RNAcentral lists this transfer RNA (93 nucleotides) under Erwinia phage pEa_SNUABM_49. RNAcentral's name for it is "tRNA-Ser". It matches the Rfam family "tRNA". Rfam says of the family: Transfer RNA (tRNA) molecules are approximately 80 nucleotides in length. Their secondary structure includes four short double-helical elements and three loops (D, anti-codon, and T loops). Further hydrogen bonds mediate the characteristic L-shaped molecular structure. tRNAs have two regions of fundamental functional importance: the anti-codon, which is responsible for specific mRNA codon recognition, and the 3' end, to which the tRNAs corresponding amino acid is attached (by aminoacyl-tRNA synthetases). tRNAs cope with the degeneracy of the genetic code in two manners: having more than one tRNA (with a specific anti-codon) for a particular amino acid; and 'wobble' base-pairing, i.e. permitting non-standard base-pairing at the 3rd anti-codon position. Lineage: Duplodnaviria; Heunggongvirae; Uroviricota; Caudoviricetes. The record is from RNAcentral.
GGUAGAUUGGGUGAGUGGUUUAAACCAGCUUCCUGCUAAGAAGUCGGUCGCUCAAAAGGCGGCCAGUGGGUUCAAAUCCCACAUCUACCUCCA